GGUACUCUUAAGCUAAAAGCUAGAAAACUUCCCCUGAGACUCUCCCUCCCCACAUACAUGUGACUUGGCUGGCAGGUCCAAUCCCACAGGACAAGGUGGGGCGGGGCUGAGGUCUGGGCCCAGGGCUCCAGGAACACAUAGACUUGGCUUUCUCUCUCAUGCCAGCUUCCACCCCACCUCCACAGCCCUUGGGUCUCCCAUUUCCUCCCUGCUUGCCUUUGCCUCCCUCUUGCCCUGCUGAGGGGCAGCCUGGGGUCUUAUCAGGGAAGCCAAAGCUGUCAAGAGAAUGAAGGGGGUGGGGAGGAAGCAGGAGGUGGGCACUGCAGGGCAGGAGCACCGGUAGGAAACCAGGGCGCAGCUGCUGGCUCACGGAGGCUGCUUCAGCGCGGAGUGCACAGUGGAAGAAGCUGAGACUCAGAGAAAUGAUCCAAAUUAACUCGCCUGUGGCUAAUGCAGCUUCUGACAGAAAUGCAAUCCCAGGCCUGAGGCUCCCGAGCCGGACUCUUAACUGUCCCAGGUGGAGAGAAGGGAUCCGUGGGGUUCAGGGGCGCCAGGCCAGCGUCACGCAGCCACACCGGGCCUGUGGCGCAGUCCGCAGGGACCAGUUGGAGGUGAAGGGGAGGAAACGCUGACUUCAAACCGGGUUCCCGUCUUUAAGGUGAAGCUGCUAGAGCUCAGAGAAGUGAA
This is a non-coding RNA of Delphinapterus leucas (beluga whale), 687 nucleotides long. NCBI's taxonomy places the organism in Eukaryota, Metazoa, Chordata, Mammalia, Artiodactyla, Monodontidae. The record is from RefSeq and is a predicted model, not a curated record.